CUACGGGGCGCACCAGUGAGGAAUAUUGCACAAUGGGGGGAACCCUGAUGCAGCAACGCCGCGUGGAGGAUGACGCAUUUCGGUGUGUAAACUCCUUUUAUAUGUCAAGAAAAUGACGGUAGCAUAUGAAUAAGCACCGGCUAACUCCGUGCCAGCAGCCGCGGUAAUACGGAGAGUGCAGGCGUUACUCGGAAUCACUGGGCGUAAAGGACGCGUAGGCGGGUUGGAAAGUCAGGUGUGAAAUCCUACAGCUUAACUGUAGAACUGCACUUGAAACUUCUAAUCGAGAGUAUGGGAGGGGGAGAUGGAAUUAGUGGUGUAGGGGUAAAAUCCGUAGAUAUCACUAGGAAUACCUAAAGCGAAGGCGAUCUCCUGGAACAUUACUGACGCUAAGGCGUGAAAGCGUGGGGAGCAAACAGGAUUAGAUACCCCGGUAGUC
RNAcentral lists this ribosomal RNA (439 nucleotides) under uncultured bacterium. RNAcentral's name for it is "partial 16S ribosomal RNA". It matches the Rfam family "Bacterial small subunit ribosomal RNA", at positions 339 to 795 of the family's 1533-position model. The record is from RNAcentral.